RNAcentral lists this ribosomal RNA (329 nucleotides) under uncultured eukaryote. RNAcentral describes it as "partial 18S ribosomal RNA". It matches the Rfam family "Eukaryotic small subunit ribosomal RNA", at positions 1470 to 1796 of the family's 1831-position model. The record is from RNAcentral.
CCCUUAGAUGUCCUGGGCCGCACGCGCGCUACACUGAGUGUCUGAGAUACGAGUCUGCCUGGUCCGGCAAGGUCUAGGUAAUCGCUAAAAGACACAUCAUGCUUGGGAUAGAUUAUUGCAAAUAUUAAUCUUGAACGAGGAAUUCCUAGUAAGCGCAAGUCAACAGCUUGCGUUGAUUACGUCCCUGCCCUUUGUACACACCGCCCGUCGCUACUACUGGUUGGAUGUUUAAGCGAGGUUCUCGAACUGCUAGCGACUUAGCUUCGGUGAGGUCGCAGUGUGGGAAGUGAACCUAGCUUUGGUGUCUAGAGGAAGUAAAAGUCGUAACA